AAUUCUCAACCCCUCUCGAUUUGUUUCGAGAGGGAGCUUGGAUGGUGGGGGCUGCCGGAGACUAGGACUUUCGUCUUGGACUCGGGCUCUCCUUAAAUGCAUAGGCUUGCGGUCGACUUUCGACUUUGCGCGACAAGGCUUUCGGCGUGAUAAUGAUCGCCGUUCGCUGAAGCGCAUGAAUGAAGGUUCCGUGCCUCUAAUACGUCGACUUAGUAUCUCUUAGGAGAGAAAACGUCUUCCUUAUUGAC
RNAcentral lists this unclassified non-coding RNA (248 nucleotides) under Rhizopogon roseolus. RNAcentral's name for it is "partial internal transcribed spacer 2". Lineage: Eukaryota; Fungi; Basidiomycota; Agaricomycetes; Boletales; Rhizopogonaceae. The record is from RNAcentral.